UUUUAUAUUUGAAUAAUUUAAAUUCAUUACAUUGUGUUAAACUUAGGUUGUUAUGUGUCUUUUUUUUUUUGUUUGUUAAAUUUUGUGUGGCAGAGCACAAUGUGUUGUAAUGUACAAAGUUAAUUGAAAUUAACUUCGUACAUAUUUUUUCAUUUUUAGUUAAACUUAGUUUCCCGUUCGAGAGUAGUUAGAUUUCGUGCAUGGAUGCGUAAUGCAUGAUUGUGGUCCAAUUAUUUCUUGAAUUGUCCCAUUAUUUGGACAGUUUGGGAAUGCAUAGGCAUG
This 282-nucleotide long non-coding RNA is filed under the name Prunus persica (peach). Its description in RNAcentral is "long non-coding RNA (PPER_LNC005232)". The record is from RNAcentral. Lineage: Eukaryota; Viridiplantae; Streptophyta; Magnoliopsida; Rosales; Rosaceae.